Molecule: small nuclear RNA, 132 nt
Organism: Asterias rubens (European starfish)
Lineage: Eukaryota; Metazoa; Echinodermata; Asteroidea; Forcipulatida; Asteriidae
Product: U11 spliceosomal RNA
Exons: 1
Source: RefSeq, a predicted model, not a curated record
AAAAAGGGUUUUUGUCUCUUAUGACACAUAAGAAACCUAAUAGGUUACUUGAGCGGAAUCACUAGCAAGAGAUUUCGGAAACAUAAUAUUUGGAAGCAGUGGCUGUUGGUUGUCCUUUGCACUGACGCCCGA